This 376-nucleotide long non-coding RNA is filed under the name Lingula anatina. RNAcentral's name for it is "uncharacterized LOC106159924, transcript variant X2". The record is from RNAcentral. Lineage: Eukaryota; Metazoa; Brachiopoda; Lingulata; Lingulida; Lingulidae.
AGUAGAGAUGAAGGUGUGUUUCCUGGACUAUCGUCACACUGAGGAUAGCUGAACCCAUCUCAACCUCACAGCAUCAUCAGCACAGUAGAAAUGAAGGUGUGUUUCCAGGAUUAUCAUCACAAUGAGGACAGUUAAAUUCAUCUGUUCACCAUCUCCUUCUACAACCACACAGUAUCAGCAAAGUAGAAAUGAAGGUGUGUUUCCAGGAUUAUCAUCACACUGAGGACAGUUGAAUUCAUCUGUUCACCAUCUCCUUCUACAACCACACAGUAUCAGCAAAGAAAUGAAGGCGUGUUUCCUGGAUUAUCAUUACACUGAGGACAGUUGAAUUCCUCUGUUCACCAUCUCGUUCUACAACCACACAGUAUCAGCAAAG